Molecule: unclassified non-coding RNA, 261 nt
Filed under: uncultured fungus
Lineage: Eukaryota; Fungi
Description: sequence contains ITS1
Rfam family: 5.8S ribosomal RNA (bases 1-104)
Source: RNAcentral
GAAAUGCGAUACGUGAUGUGAAUUGCAGAAUUUGUGAAUCAUCGAGACUUUGAACGCACAUUGCGCCGAUUGGUACUCCUUUCGGCACGCCUGUUCGAGCGUCAUUUAAAAACUCGGAGUAAUCCGGUUAUGGGAGUGUGAUGCAUUCCCGAAAUAUUCCGUCGUUAAGAAGCUACCGCGGUGAAAACGUGGAGGCACCUCGACGAAAACUAUACUCGUACCUUUGACCUCGAAUCAGGCGGGGAUACCCGCUGAACUUAA